This 28-nucleotide non-coding RNA is filed under the name Rattus norvegicus (Norway rat). Lineage: Eukaryota; Metazoa; Chordata; Mammalia; Rodentia; Muridae. The record is from RNAcentral.
UAAAAGAAUAGGACAUGGGUGCCGGUCU